Molecule: ribosomal RNA, 301 nt
Filed under: uncultured bacterium
Lineage: Bacteria
Description: partial 16S ribosomal RNA
Rfam family: Bacterial small subunit ribosomal RNA
Source: RNAcentral
CAGCCGCCACGGUAAUACAGAGGGUGCAAGCGUUAAUCGGAAUUACUGGGCGUAAAGCGCGCGUAGGUGGUUUGUUAAGUUGGAUGUGAAAUCCCCGGGCUCAACCUGGGAACUGCAUUCGGAACUGACUGACUAGAGUAUGGUAGAGGGUGGUGGAAUUUCCUGUGUAGCGGUGAAAUGCGUAGAUAUAGGAAGGAACACCAGUGGCGAAGGCGACCACCUGGACUAAUACUGACACUGAGGUGCGAAAGCGUGGGGAGCAAACAGGAUUAGAUACCCCAGUAGUCCCUGUCUCUUAUAC